CUCCCCUGGUCUCCAUCACUCUUUAUAGAGUGUUGAUCAGCCCUAUAUGGAGAUGGGCCAUGUCAGGACAUGAAUUAGACUGAUUAUUUCAAAAGAUCUGUAUUUGGGGCUAGAGGUGUAUACCUCUUUUGACCUAUCAGGCUCGUUCUAACAACAGGCUAUUCCAGGGUGGACAGAGGAGGGGAGAAAUUGGCUGCAUUGAAAGCCCACUUGAUCAUAGGGCAGUCUCAGGCACUGUAGUCAUCUAAAAAUGCCAAGCAUGUAUAUUUGACCAAUGGGAAUUAAUCCAAUUAUAUAUUUUAACGUGCACUGACACAAAGUAAGUUAGUUCCAAAAACAGUUUUAAACGUUGAAACCAUAAGUAAUGUAUGUCCGUUUUUUGUUUUUGAAAUACCCCGUUAUACUUUGCUCAUUGUGAACACUUGGGGGUGACAUAAGAAAGUGUUGUUGCAGUGCGUAAACUCACAAUAGGGUUCUUAUGACAAGUGCAGCUGUCUUUUGUUCACCAAGACAAGGUCACUCUUCUAUGCAUUGUAACAGCUACUGAAGUAUUAAACUCGACCUCAUCUUGUUGACGUGACAGUUUCUUUCCCUUUGUCCUUGAUGACAAAAAUAACCCUGUGAAAUUGUUCUUUGGGUGUACAGUUUAUGAAGAGCCCAUAAUUCAAUUAAUUUAAGCCACAAAUGGAGCAAAGUAUGAAAAUGUAUGAACUCACUACUGUAAGUCGUUCUGGAUGAGAGCGUCUGAUAAAAUGUAAACUGCCUAAAUAAAGGAAAGGCCAACAUAAAGUGUCCUAAUAGGAGCGUUGGGCCACAACAACCUGCCAGAACAUAGAUUCUACAAGUCUCUGGAACACUAUUGGAGGGAUGCGACACCAUUUCUUCCAGGACAAAUUACAUCAUUUGGUGUUUAGUUGACGGUAGUGAUAAACUCUGUCUCAGGCGCUGCUCCAGAAUCUCACGUAAGUGUUCAGUUGGGUUGAGAUCUGGUGACUGAGACACACACACCCUUUAAACCCCCUAUGCUCCUUUGAGACCCCUCUUUCAAAGUCACUGACAUGUUUUCUUCUAGCCAUGGUAGUCAAAAAGAAAUGGGCAACUGGGCAUUUUUAUACAUGACCCUAAGCAUGAUAGGGUUUUAAUUGCUUAACUAACUUAGGAAACACACCUAUGUGGAAGCACCUGCUUUCAAUAUACUUUGUAUCCUUCAUUUAUUCAAGUGUUUCCUUUAUUUUGGCAGUUAGAUGUACAUGUCACUUUCAAGAAACUCAUGCUAGUUUUAACAAGGGGGACUCAAAAUGUAAAAAUGUUUUAAAUAACUUGUGUAAGGUGCUGACUAAUCAAGUUAGAAACGUCUGUGUAGAGUAGUAUGUAAGGUGCUGACUAAUCAAGUUAGAAAUGUCUGUGUAGAGUAGUAUGUAAGGUGUUGACCCAAGGGACAUAAUAAGGUCUUAGAUUUGUAGUAACGUGCUGUUAAAGGUCAAGAUGGCUGUCAGUGCAUUAGUGUGAAGCUGUCUACAAGUUGUCUAUGAGGUGAUAAUACUAUAUAAGUGGUUGUCAUCACCAGAGUUUCCCUCCUUAGACCUCUUCAGGAGCACCUUUGACUCCUACUAUUUCACACCUUGGGCAUUCAGCCUUGAGGUUCUUUACUUUACUUCCACAUGCUACUCCUCAAUGACACUGUUAGGUGUCCAAUUCCCAGCUGUCGGGAAUUUAAUUCCUGUCACUACAGGAGGGAACACAUACUGAUCAUGACAAAACAGUCCGUUUUUACCCUAAAACCAUAUCAGUAGAUGGUUAAAAACAAAUGAUAUUCUCUCUCUCGAAGAUGGAUUUCAAAAGAAGCAACGUAUUGUAAGCCAAGACUAUCACUAUUCUUCACCACGAGGAGAAUGUAACACCCUGCAACCCAUCAGCUAAUACAUUUAUUUAUUUUCUUCUUUUUUACCCCCUUUUUCUCCCCAAUUUCGUGGUGUCCAAUUGUUUUUUAGUAGCUACUAUCUUGUCUCAUCGCUACAACUCCCAUACGGGCUCGGGAGAGACGAAGGUCGAAAGCCAUGCGUCUUCCGAUACACAACCCAACCAAGCCGCACUGCUUCUUUUUUUUUUUUAAAUGUUAUUUAUUUUUUAUGCCAUUUAGCAGACGCUUUUAUCCAAAGCGACUUACAGUAAUGUGUGCAUACAUUCUACGUAUGGGUGGUCCCGGGAAUCGAACCCACUACCCUGGCGUUACAAGCGCCAUGCUCUACCAACUGAGCUACAGAAGGACCACAGCGCACAUCCAACCCGGAAGCCAGCCGCACCAAUGUGUCGGAGGAAACACCGUGCCCCUAGCAACCUGGUCAGCGUGCACUGCGCCCGGCCCACCAUAGGAGUCGCUAGUGCGCGAUGAGACAUGGAUAUCCCUACUGGCCUAACCCGGACAACGCUAGGCCAAUUGUGCGUCACCCGGCUGCGACAAAGCCUGGGCUCGAACCCAGAGUCUGGUGGCACACAGCUAAUACAUUUGAAGCCUAAAAAAUUGACCAUGACCCACAACCCUCAAAUGUUUGAAUUAAGCAGUUAGCCCCAAGGAGGUGUGGUAUAUUGGCCAUAUACCGCAAACCCCCGAGGUGUCUUAUUGCUAUUAUUAACUGGUUACCAACAUAAUUAGAACAGUAAACAAGUAAUUUUGUGUCAUACACGUGGUAUAUUUAAGCAAAAAGGCCCAGGGGGUGUGUAGUAUAUGGAUAAUAUACCACAGCUAAGGGCUGUUCUUACGCAGUGCCAUGGUAUAUUGGCCAUAUACUACAAGAUCCUUAUGGCUAUUAUAAACUGGUUACCAACGUAAUCAGCACUAAAAUCAGUAAAAAUACAUGUUUUGUCAAACAUGUAGUAUACAUUCUGAUAUACCACGGCUGUCAGCCAGUCAGCAUUCAGGGCUCGAACCACCCAGUUUAUAAUGUCUAAUAUACCAUGGCCUUCAGCAUCUAGGACCCAAACUACCUGGUUUAUAAUAUAAAAUAUAUGCAAUUUAACAGACGCUUUUAUCUACAACGACUCAACGUGCUUAUGCUCCCGGGAAUCUAAUCACCCAUUCUGGUGUUGCAAGUGCCAUGCUCUACCAACUGAGCAACAAAGGACCACACUCUCUCUCAUCAAGCUCCUUACUUAGUCUCAAUACUUGAGCAGUCUAUUCUAGGCUCAACCUUUCUUUAUACGUCCUCAUUCUCAGCUGUCCAGUCUUCUCGUGUUAUCAACACUGUGUUCUCUCUGUCAGAUAGAAGGAAUGAUGGCUGGACACCUUACCACUGUUCUGCUGUGUAACCUGAUUCUCCUUUGCAUUUCAAGGACUGCACUAUCUUUAGGAUGUCCAUGCAUCUGUUGUGACACAAAGGUCGUUGAAAACUCACAUCUCAGUGUUUGUCUUUGUCCUUGGCAUUGCUGUUAACGCUCUGAUGCUAUUGGGCUUGUGCUAUUCCCAUACUGUAGAUGCUUUAACAGAACAAACUGUCAUCGAAAUGUGUUGCACUAUAAAUGUAACUGAUUGUUGGUUUUAGAAUGAUUUUGAAAGCUGAGUUUAAAGUGAAGGUUGUAAGAAAGAUUGUUGUUUGUCACUUGCAUUUCUGUGUAAACCCAAUACAGUGGUGAACCUCCUUGUACAGUAAAGUAGCUAUCUACAUUUGUUCAUUGACUGGCAAAUUGUUUACUCUGUCACCUCGCAGAUAUUGAAUAUUAGACAGUUUUGCCGAAUUUUGUCACACUUAGUUUUUUAUUUGUGGGGUAACUGAAGACUCCCUUUGGAACUGCUGGCUGUUUUAAAGUGUUGUAUACUGUUUUAAAGUGUUGUACUACAGUAUGGCUUACUAACAAUUGACAGGAUAACAGACGUGUCCUGUUUGGACUCAGGCAGUUACGGUGUAGUAUUAACCUUAUUUGUAUCAGAUGUAGAAGGUGUUUCUUACAACCUUCAUUUUAAACUCAGCUUUCAAAAUCAUUCUAAAACCAACAAUCAGUUACAUUUAUAGUGCAACACAUUUCGAUGACAGUUUGUUCUGUUAAAGCAUCUACAGUAUGGGAUGGGACUCUCCUCCAUGUGACUCACAGAUGCAGGUCCAGCCUCUUGCAUUGGGAGACCUCCUGUCAGGGACUCCAAACAUGACCACACACAAGAGAUGGAUAGUUUUGAAGAAAAUACACUCAUUUAUUUUUAUAGAAUUUACCAUAGAACGUUAGAUAUUCAUUGAAUUCCCAUCGGGACGGAGGGUAACUUUUAAACCAGCUGAUUUGUGUGAUAAACUUUUUUUUAUUUUCUCAAUUUGAUCUUACUGUCACGCCCUGACCAUAGAGAGCCAUUGUUUCUCUAUGGUGUAGUAGGUCAGGGUGUGAAUAGGGGGUGAUCUAGUAUAUCUAUGUCAAUGUUGUGUUCUAGUUUCUUUUUCUAUGUUAGUGUUCUGUAUGAUUCCCAAUUAGAAGCAGCUGGUAAUCGUUGUCUCUAAUUGGGGUUCAUAUUUAAGUAGUUAUUUUUCCCACCUGUGUUUGUGGGAUCUUGUUUAUGUGUAGUUGCCUGUGAGCACUUCAUUGUCUUCACGUUUCGUUCAUUCUUUAUUGUUUUAUGCGUUUCAGUUAAUAAACAUGUGGUAACCAUA
Molecule: long non-coding RNA, 4628 nt
Organism: Oncorhynchus keta (chum salmon)
Lineage: Eukaryota; Metazoa; Chordata; Actinopteri; Salmoniformes; Salmonidae
Exons: 2
Source: RefSeq, a predicted model, not a curated record